RNAcentral lists this ribosomal RNA (468 nucleotides) under uncultured bacterium. Its description in RNAcentral is "partial 16S ribosomal RNA". It matches the Rfam family "Bacterial small subunit ribosomal RNA", at positions 28 to 507 of the family's 1533-position model. The record is from RNAcentral.
GACGAACGCUGGCGGCGUGCUUAACACAUGCAAGUCGAACGGAAAGGCCCUGCUUUUGUGGGGUGCUCGAGUGGCGAACGGGUGAGUAACACGUGAGUAACCUGCCCUUGACUUUGGGAUAACUUCAGGAAACUGGGGCUAAUACCGGAUAGGAGCUCCUGCUGCAUGGUGGGGGUUGGAAAGUUUCGGCGGUUGGGGAUGGACUCGCGGCUUAUCAGCUUGUUGGUGGGGUAGUGGCUUACCAAGGCUUUGACGGGUAGCCGGCCUGAGAGGGUGACCGGCCACAUUGGGACUGAGAUACGGCCCAGACUCCUACGGGAGGCAGAAGUGGGGAAUAUUGCACAAUGGGCGGAAGCCUGAUGCAGCAACGCCGCGUGCGGGAUGACGGCCUUCGGGUUGUAAACCUCUUUCGCCUGUGACGAAGCGUGAGUGACGGUAAUGGGUAAAGAAGCACCGGCUAACUACGUG